RNAcentral lists this unclassified non-coding RNA (294 nucleotides) under Hevea brasiliensis (rubber tree). Lineage: Eukaryota; Viridiplantae; Streptophyta; Magnoliopsida; Malpighiales; Euphorbiaceae. The record is from RNAcentral.
GAAAAGCUUGGCUCCUUUAUCAUUCUUAUCCCGAGGAAAUAUCCUCCUUAAAAAAGCAAGCAAGCUAACUAGCUUUGUUUCAAAGCAGACGCAGAGAAGUGUAUAUCCCUGAAUAGGUUUGACUGGAACGAGUUUUUAUUUUUGGUUCCUCCCUUGAGUCUACUCGAUUUGCAGAGAUUGAAGAGUCAAACCGUUUUUUUAUUUCAUUGUUUUGAAGUUUGAAACAUGGCUUGAAUUUUGCGUUAGCGAGAAAGAGAGAGAGAACAGAAAAAGUGUGUCAAAGCUAGCGUGCUA